RNAcentral lists this ribosomal RNA (255 nucleotides) under uncultured bacterium. Its description in RNAcentral is "partial 16S ribosomal RNA". It matches the Rfam family "Bacterial small subunit ribosomal RNA", at positions 524 to 777 of the family's 1533-position model. The record is from RNAcentral.
UACGGGGGGGGCAAGCGUUGUUCGGAAUUACUGGGCGUAAAGGGCGCGUAGGCGGUUUGCUAAGUUGAAUGUGAAAACUCUGGGCUUAACCCAGAGCCUGCAUUCAAUACUGGCAGGCUAGAGUUCUGGAGGGGAUAGCGGAAUUCCUGGUGUAGCGGUGAAAUGCGUAGAUAUCAGGAGGAACAGCCAGUGGCGAAGGCGGCUUACUGGUCCGAUACUGACGCUGAGGUGCGAAAGCGUGGGGAGCAAACAGAU